Molecule: non-coding RNA, 73 nt
Organism: Parelaphostrongylus tenuis
Lineage: Eukaryota; Metazoa; Nematoda; Chromadorea; Rhabditida; Metastrongylidae
Source: the annotation of a GenBank genome assembly
GCGUCGGUGGUGCAACGGUUAAGCACAUGCUCCCGGAAAGAGUAAGAUCUGGGUUCAAUUUCCGGCUGACGCA